UCAAGAAACUUCCACAAUGGGCGAAAGCCUGAUGGAGCGACGUCGCGUGAUGGACGAAGUGCUUCGGCACGUAAACAUCUUUUAUGUGGGAUGAAAUUAUUGACAGUACCACAUGAAUAAGGGGCUCCUAACUCUGUGCCAGCAGGAGCGGUAAUAUAGAGGCCCCAAGCGUUAUCCGGAAUCACUGGGCGUAAAGGGUGUCGAGGCGGUUGUAUUAGUCGUUCGUAAAAUCUACGAGCUUAACUUGUAGGCGGCGAACGAAACGGUACGACUUGAGGUUUGGAGAGGUGCGUGGAACUCACGGUGUAGGGGUGAAAUCCGUUGAUAUCGUGGGGAACACCAAAGGCGAAGGCAGCGCACUGGCCAAAAUCUGACGCUCACACACGAAAGCUAGGGUAGCGAAGAGGAUUAGAUACCCCGGUAGUCCCUGAGCGGGCUGGCAAGGCGCAU
This 450-nucleotide ribosomal RNA is filed under the name uncultured bacterium. RNAcentral describes it as "bacterial SSU rRNA". It matches the Rfam family "Bacterial small subunit ribosomal RNA", at positions 355 to 825 of the family's 1533-position model. The record is from RNAcentral.